AGCAGCCGCGGUAAUUCCAGCUCCAAUAGCGUAUAUUAAAGUUGUUGCAGUUAAAAAGCUCGUAGUUGAAUUUCGGGGUCAGUAGGUCGGUCGUGCCACUGGUAUGAACUGGUUUUACUGAUUCCUCCCUCUUGAAGAACUGUAAUGCCAUUAAUUUGGUGUUGCAGGGAAUCAGGACUGUUACUUUGAAAAAAUUAGAGUGUUUAAAGCAGGCUUUAGCUUGAAUACAUUAGCAUGGAAUAAUGAAAUAGGACGUUUGAUCCUAUUUUGUUGGUUUCUAGGAUUGACGUAAUGAUUAAUAGGGAUAGUUGGGGCAUUAGUAUUCAAUUGUCAGAGAUGAAAUUCUUGGAUUUAUUGAAGACUAACUACUGACGAAAGCAUUUGCCAAGGAUUGUUUUCAAUUAAUCAAGAACGAAAGUUAGGGAUCGAAGACGAUCAAGAUACCGUCGUAGUCUUAACCAUAAACUAUGACGACGUAGGAUUGGAUGGAUUGUUAAUUUUAGUAAAUUGUAACUUUA
RNAcentral lists this ribosomal RNA (518 nucleotides) under uncultured Glomus. RNAcentral's name for it is "SSU rRNA". It matches the Rfam family "Eukaryotic small subunit ribosomal RNA", at positions 569 to 1090 of the family's 1831-position model. Lineage: Eukaryota; Fungi; Glomeromycota; Glomeromycetes; Glomerales; Glomeraceae. The record is from RNAcentral.